GCUGGGUUGGCUCAAUUGGUAGAGCAGCUGAUUUGUAAUCAGCGGGUUGGGGGUUCGAGUCCCUCACCCAGCACCA
Molecule: transfer RNA, 76 nt
Filed under: Pseudobdellovibrionaceae bacterium
Lineage: Bacteria; Pseudomonadati; Bdellovibrionota; Bdellovibrionia; Bdellovibrionales; Pseudobdellovibrionaceae
Also listed under: 1 other name
Description: Bdellovibrionaceae bacterium tRNA-Thr
Rfam family: tRNA
About the family: Transfer RNA (tRNA) molecules are approximately 80 nucleotides in length. Their secondary structure includes four short double-helical elements and three loops (D, anti-codon, and T loops).
Source: RNAcentral